CAAAAAAUGUCGACUUGGAGGUUGUUCCCUUGAGGAGUGGCUUCCGGAGCUAACGCGUUAAGUCGACCGCCUGGGGAGUACGGCCGCAAGGUUAAAACUCAAAUGAAUUGACGGGGGCCCGCACAAGCGGUGGAGCAUGUGGUUUAAUUCGAUGCAACGCGAAGAACCUUACCUGGUCUUGACAUCCACAGAAUUCUGCAGAGAUGCGGAAGUGCCUUCGGGAACUGUGAGACAGGUGCUGCAUGGCUGUCGUCAGCUCGUGUUGUGAAAUGUUGGGUUAAGUCCCGCAACGAGCGCAACCCUUAUCCUUUGUUGCCAGCGGUUAGGCCGGGAACUCAAAGGAGACUGCCAGUGAUAAACUGGAGGAAGGUGGGGAUGACGUCAAGUCAUCAUGGCCCUUACGACCAGGGCUACACACGUGCUACAAUGGCAUAUACAAAGAGAAGCGACCUCGCGAGAGCAAGCGGACCUCAUAAAGUAUGUCGUAGUCCGGAUCGGAGUCUGCAACUCGACUCCGUGAAGUCGGAAUCGCUAGUAAUCGUGGAUCAGAAUGCCACGGUGAAUACGUUCCCGGGCCUUGUACACACCGCCCGUCACACCAUGGGAGUGGGUUGCAAAAGAAGUAGGUAGCUUAACCUUCGGGAGGGCGCUUACCACUUUGUGAUUCAUGACUGGGGUGAAGUCGUACAAGGGGUAACCCAACGGGGGGGGGCCCGGGGGGGGGGCCUAGGGGGG
RNAcentral lists this ribosomal RNA (735 nucleotides) under uncultured Citrobacter sp. RNAcentral's name for it is "bacterial SSU rRNA". It matches the Rfam family "Bacterial small subunit ribosomal RNA", at positions 801 to 1533 of the family's 1533-position model. Lineage: Bacteria; Pseudomonadati; Pseudomonadota; Gammaproteobacteria; Enterobacterales; Enterobacteriaceae. The record is from RNAcentral.